AUGACGCACAGUGCUGGCGCAAGUCGUCUUGCGCCAGGCGACUGGGUCUGAGGAGGCAGGAGUUAUUCAUUCCCUUAAGCUUUCAGGCCGGGGGGAGAAUCUUUCAGGUGGUAGCUGCAAGAACUCUUAGUAUGUUGACCUCACCUCUGCCUUCCACAUACCACUACCAGUGAGGAAUUAGGAAUGCAUGAGAAGAGUGUCCAAGAAGAGUGUCCUCAUUCAUGCAAGGCUUAAGAGAGAAUGCAGGUCAACAUCACCAUGUCAAUCAGAGGUGCAGAUGCUGAGAGCACUUUCUAGUCAAGUCCUGCAUGUUCAUUUCUGUCUCAAGUCAGCUUCUCUGAGAAUCCAAUUUAUAAAAAUAUAUUUGUGAAUGUAUAAGUAAAGUGACUUGGAUUUUGUCUACGUACAAGGACUUCUAUGCCUGCAUAAAACAGGAAAGAGAUCUUCAUGUAAACAGAGUCCCUCUUAUUGGCUGAAGUGAAGAGUCAUUCUGAGGAGGAUCUGAAAAUGUAGAGGUGAGACGCUAAUGGCAGAGUGGCCUCAGCUUUCACCAGGUUUUGAAAACAUCUGUGAGGGAGGCACCAAAUUCACUGUCCUGCAGCUUUGACUUCCCAAUCCUCGUUGCCUCGUGCUGCCAGCCUGUAUGCUGGUAGAAGUGUGUUCCUGGGAACAUCCUGGCAUCUUGUGUUAGGACUACACUGGUGCAUGGGACAGAUCACGCUCAAGAAGGUCGAUGUAAUUUGAAAAACAGAUGGGCUCUGCUUUGUGAAAACUCCAAGCAUAUGAAGUCUAACUUGAAUAAAAGGCAUCUCAAGAUGAAGGUUUCCUAUUUGUGAUUAUGAAAAAAAUGUCAAGAACAAGUCCCUUGGUGUUCUUAGACCAAAGUCAGAACAACAGACCUAGUAUUUGUCUGGGGCUGGCUGUGCACCCAGAAGGCCAUUCGUUCCAUGAAGAACAUGACAGAGGUACCUGGUCCUACCUGGAUUCUUGGGCAUGCGGGCAGCAGCAGCAGCAGCAGCCACAGUGAACUUCAUCCUAAGGAAAUUAAGCACACGUUGCGUGAGGCUGCUGUGGGGGUGCCAGGUGCUGAGGUUUCUGUAGUGGAUAAAACACAAAAAUACCAGCCCUCAUGGUGAAAAUGGAAUGACAAUAAACAAGAUAAAUUAGAUCUAUGCAACAAAACCAAGCCUUUGUGCACAUCUGUGGUUGUGACCAGUUGGAGAGACAUUAGGAGAUGAGAUACUAUGUUCACUCCUCACAGCUGUACCAGGGACCUGAGAUAUUCCGUCACUAUUCUAUGAGAUUUUGGAGAUCCCACCAGUGGUUUUCCGGUGCCAGGGUAUGAGAAGAUAGUCUCCAUGUCCAAACUCACAAUUUCAGAACAAAUUUCAUCAAGAUAAAGGCCUGGGCUGGUGAAUGGUUCCUGCUUUCACUAUUCCAGAUGUCCAGCUCUGUACCUUGCUGCUCUCCUUAAAGCCUGCCUCCCUCUAGGCCUUGAUUGUCCUCAGAUGGAAAUGGGGAUG
Molecule: long non-coding RNA, 1523 nt
Filed under: Homo sapiens (human)
Lineage: Eukaryota; Metazoa; Chordata; Mammalia; Primates; Hominidae
Description: HSALNT0401812
Source: RNAcentral